AGAGUUUGAUCAUGGCUCAGAAUCAACGCUGGCGGCGCGCCUAACACAUGCAAGUCAAACGAGAAAGUGGAGCAAUCCAUGAGUAAAGUGGCGUACGGGUGAGUAACACGUGGAUCAUCUGCCCUUUUGUGGGGAAUACCGCUGGGAAACCGGCGACAAUACCGCAUAAGCCCGAGAGGGGAAAGCAGCAAUGCGCAGAAGGAGGAGUCCGCGGUCGAUUAGCUAGUUGGUAGGGUAAUGGCCUACCAAGGCUGUGAUCGAUAGCCGGCCUGAGAGGGCACACGGCCACACUGGCACUGAAACACGGGCCAGACUCCUACGGGGGGCAGCAGUGGGGAAUCUUGCACAAUGGGGGAAACCCUGAUGCAGCGACGCCGCGUGAGCGAUGAAGCCCUCCGGGGUGUAAAGCUCUUUCGGCAGGGAAGAUUAUGACGGUACCUGCAGAAGCAGCUGCGGCUAACUACGUGCCAGCAGCCGCGGUAAUACGUAGGCAGCAAGCGUUGUUCGGAGUUACUGGGCGUAAAGGGUGCGUAGGCGGCCCUGUAAGUAUGGUGUGAAAUCUCCCGGCUUAACUGGGAGGGUGCGCUAUAGACUGCGGGGCUCGAGUGUGGGAGAGGAAAGUGGAAUUCCUGGUGUAGCGGUGAAAUGCGUAGAUAUCAGGAGGAACACCGGUGGUGUAAACGGCUUUCUGGACCACAACUGACGCUGAGGCACGAAAGCGUGGGUAGCAAACAGGAUUAGAUACCCUGGUAGUCCACGCCCUAAACGAUGCAUAUUUGGUGUGGGUCAUUCAGUUGAUCCGUGCCGGAGCUAACGCGUUAAAUAUGCCGCCUGGGGAGUACAGUCGCAAGGCUGAACUCAAGGAAUUGACGGGGCCCGCACAAGCGGUGGAGCAUGUGGUUUAAUUCGACGCAACGCGAAGAACCUUACCUGGGCUCGAAAUGCUGUGGACCAGCUG
RNAcentral lists this ribosomal RNA (958 nucleotides) under uncultured bacterium. RNAcentral's name for it is "bacterial SSU rRNA". It matches the Rfam family "Bacterial small subunit ribosomal RNA", at positions 8 to 1002 of the family's 1533-position model. The record is from RNAcentral.